CGGCGACCGGCGCACGGGUGCGGAACGCGUAUGGAACCUGCCCCUGUCAGGGGAAUAGCCCAGGGAAACUUGGAUUAAUGCCCCAUGGUACCGCGAUAUCGCAUGAUAUUGCGGUUAAAGAUUUAUCGGACAGGGAUGGCCAUGCGUACCAUUAGUUAGUUGGUGGGGUAACGGCCCACCAAGGCAGCGAUGGUUAGGGGCCCUGAGAGGGGGAUCCCCCACACUGGUACUGAGACACGGACCAGACUCCUACGGGAGGCAGCAGUGAGGAAUAUUGGACAAUGGGCGGGAGCCUGAUCCAGCCAUGCCGCGUGCAGGAUGACGGCCCUAUGGGUUGUAAACUGCUUUUAUACGGGAAGAAAUGCGCCCACGUGUGGGCGUCUGACGGUACCGUAAGAAUAAGGACCGGCUAACUCCGUGCCAGCAGCCGCGGUAAUACGGAGGGUCCGAGCGUUAUCCGGAAUCAUUGGGUUUAAAGGGUCCGUAGGCGGGCCUGUAAGUCAGGGGUGAAAGUUUGUGGCUCAACCAUAAAAUUGCCUUUGAUACUGCAGGUCUUGAGUCAUGGUGGGGUCGCCGGAACAUGUGGUGUAGCGGUGAAAUGCAUAGAUAUCACAUAGAACACCGAUCGCGAAGGCAGGUGGCCAACCAUGUACUGACGCU
RNAcentral lists this ribosomal RNA (660 nucleotides) under Flagellimonas ruestringensis. RNAcentral describes it as "bacterial SSU rRNA". It matches the Rfam family "Bacterial small subunit ribosomal RNA", at positions 89 to 747 of the family's 1533-position model. Lineage: Bacteria; Pseudomonadati; Bacteroidota; Flavobacteriia; Flavobacteriales; Flavobacteriaceae. The record is from RNAcentral.